Molecule: ribosomal RNA, 964 nt
Filed under: Acinetobacter tjernbergiae
Lineage: Bacteria; Pseudomonadati; Pseudomonadota; Gammaproteobacteria; Moraxellales; Moraxellaceae
Description: bacterial SSU rRNA
Rfam family: Bacterial small subunit ribosomal RNA
Source: RNAcentral
AGUCGAGCGGAGAUGAGGUGCUUGCACCUUAUCUUAGCGGCGGACGGGUGAGUAAUGCUUAGGAAUCUGCCUAUUAGUGGGGGACAACAUUCCGAAAGGAAUGCUAAUACCGCAUACGCCCUACGGGGGAAAGCAGGGGAUCUUCGGACCUUGCGCUAAUAGAUGAGCCUAAGUCGGAUUAGCUAGUUGGUGGGGUAAAGGCCUACCAAGGCGACGAUCUGUAGCGGGUCUGAGAGGAUGAUCCGCCACACUGGGACUGAGACACGGCCCAGACUCCUACGGGAGGCAGCAGUGGGGAAUAUUGGACAAUGGGCGGAAGCCUGAUCCAGCCAUGCCGCGUGUGUGAAGAAGGCCUUUUGGUUGUAAAGCACUUUAAGCGAGGAGGAGGCUACUUAGAUUAAUACUCUAGGAUAGUGGACGUUACUCGCAGAAUAAGCACCGGCUAACUCUGUGCCAGCAGCCGCGGUAAUACAGAGGGUGCGAGCGUUAAUCGGAUUUACUGGGCGUAAAGCGUGCGUAGGCGGCUGAUUAAGUCGGAUGUGAAAUCCCUGAGCUUAACUUAGGAAUUGCAUUCGAUACUGGUCAGCUAGAGUAUGGGAGAGGAUGGUAGAAUUCCAGGUGUAGCGGUGAAAUGCGUAGAGAUCUGGAGGAAUACCGAUGGCGAAGGCAGCCAUCUGGCCUAAUACUGACGCUGAGGUACGAAAGCAUGGGGAGCAAACAGGAUUAGAUACCCUGGUAGUCCAUGCCGUAAACGAUGUCUACUAGCCGUUGGGGCCUUUGAGGCUUUAGUGGCGCAGCUAACGCGAUAAGUAGACCGCCUGGGGAGUACGGUCGCAAGACUAAAACUCAAAUGAAUUGACGGGGGCCCGCACAAGCGGUGGAGCAUGUGGUUUAAUUCGAUGCAACGCGAAGAACCUUACCUGGCCUUGACAUAGUAAGAACUUUCCAGAGAUGGAUUGGUGCC